AUGGCUCCGCGGGGGGCCGGCGGGGAGAACGCACAUUCCGACCUCCGGGAGAGGGUGAGGAGGUAAGGAGCCUCUGCUUGCAAGGGUCCAGAUCCCAGGUCAGCCAGUCGCGUCCCCUCCGGGACCUCCUCCAGCUCUCCAGCCCCCGUGACCCUCUCGUAGUCCAAUCACGCCCCGCUCCUCAUCCCCGGGGCUGAGCAAGGUUCCCCUCAGAUGGAGGUGGUUCCUUCGGCUGCUACACAGCUGCACCUGAGGCGUCCGCCAGGGCAGCAAUCCAGGCUCACGCAGGAGAAAACGGGAUCCAGAGAAUGAUUCCCAAAACUGCUUAUCUGUGGGUCAUAGAAAGACAAGAUGGAUUUUACUGCAAAAAGGUUGUUGCCUGGUUCAGUUCCAAGUCUGGAAUGCAUGAAGGAAAAAGAAACCAGGAGAAUUCACCACCAUGUUGAUCCUUGUAUCCCAAGGUCUCUGCUGUGUUUGCCCCAUACAAGAAAGGCAAUGAAAAUAUUUUGAGAGGUAAGAUAUAAAGGGAAAUGGUUUAUUAAUAAUUAAAACCACUUGGUAAACUACCCACGCAGACUGCCUCCUAUGGAUGUGAAUGACAUUCAGAUUUUCUUAAGUCCAAAUACUGUUGAUGCAGUAGUGUUCCAAAAGAUCCUCCCAUGGGUACUUACUGUUUUCAUCUUUAUACUGAAUCCAUCACUAUUCCCUGCACAUACUAU
This is a long non-coding RNA of Acinonyx jubatus (cheetah), 719 nucleotides long. RefSeq lists it as uncharacterized. The transcript has 4 exons. NCBI's taxonomy places the organism in Eukaryota, Metazoa, Chordata, Mammalia, Carnivora, Felidae. The record is from RefSeq and is a predicted model, not a curated record.